This is a non-coding RNA of Pantoea stewartii subsp. stewartii DC283, 124 nucleotides long. The record is from Rfam. NCBI's taxonomy places the organism in Bacteria, Pseudomonadati, Pseudomonadota, Gammaproteobacteria, Enterobacterales, Erwiniaceae.
AACCCCCUGAAAUCUUUCUCGACUUUGCGGGUACGGUUAGAUAUCAGGGGGUCAAAAGCAGGCGGCGUGCCUGCGAAGGAUUAUAGCAAAUGCAUUUCUCAAUACAAGACCUCUGCCCCGCAAU